GGAUGUGAGGGCAAUCUGGCUGUGGCAUCUGUCACCCCAUUGAUCGCCAGGGUUGAUUCGGCUGAUCUGGCUGGCUAGGCAGGUGUCCCCUUCCUCCCUCGUGGAUCUAUGUCCAUCCCUCCCAAAGCUGCGUGCUUGGUCAGAGAGGACGACCUUCCUGACUAGAGGAGGACCAGUCUUCAGUCAAGGGCAUAUGAGUAGCUGUGCUCCCCUGCUAGAACCUCCAAGCAAGGUGUUACUUGGGGGCUGGCUCUGUGGCACAGCAGGUUAGGCUACCACUUGCAAUGCCAGCAUCCCAUAUUGGAGGGCUUCACUU
Molecule: small nuclear RNA, 316 nt
Filed under: Oryctolagus cuniculus (rabbit)
Lineage: Eukaryota; Metazoa; Chordata; Mammalia; Lagomorpha; Leporidae
Description: 7SK RNA
Rfam family: 7SK RNA
About the family: 7SK was discovered as an abundant small nuclear RNA in the mid-70s but a possible function has only recently been suggested.
Source: Rfam by way of RNAcentral